AACGAACGCUGGCGGCAGGCCUAAUACAUGCAAGUCGAGCGGGUGUAGCAAUACAUCAGCGGCGCACGGGUGCGUAACACGUGGGAAUAUGCCUCUUGGUGCGGAAUAACACAGGGAAACUUGUGCUAAUACCGCAUAAUGACUCCGGUCCAAAGAUUUAUCGCCAAGAGAUUAGCCCGCGUCUGAUUAGCUAGUUGGUGAGGUAACGGCUCACCAAGGCAACGAUCAGUAGCUGGUCUUAGAGGAUGAUCAGCCACACUGGAACUGAGACACGGUCCAGACUCCUACGGGAGGCAGCAGUAAGGAAUAUUGGACAAUGGGCGAAAGCCUGAUCCAGCCAUGCCGCGUGAGUGAUGAAGGCCUUCGGGUUGUAAAGCUCUUUGUUCCGGGACGAUAAUGACAGUACCGGGAGAAUAAGCUCCGGCUAACUCCGUGCCAGCAGCCGCGGUAAU
RNAcentral lists this ribosomal RNA (452 nucleotides) under uncultured bacterium. RNAcentral describes it as "bacterial SSU rRNA". It matches the Rfam family "Bacterial small subunit ribosomal RNA", at positions 29 to 524 of the family's 1533-position model. The record is from RNAcentral.